GACGAACGCUGGCGGCGUGCUUAACACAUGCAAGUCGAACGGGCCCGCCCCUGUUUUUGGGGGUGGGUUGAGUGGCGAACGGGUGAGUAUCACGUGAGUAACCUGCCCCCUGCUCCUGGAUAACUGCUUGAAAGGGCGGCUAAUACGGGGUGUGCCGGCUGGUCCGCAUGGGCCUGGUCGGGAUAGUUUCAUCUUCGGGUGUUUCGGUGGGGGAUGGGCUCGCGGCCUAUCAGCUUGUUGGUGGGGUGAUGGCCCACCAAGGCGGUGACGGGUAGCCGGCCUGAGAGGGUGGGCGGCCACACUGGGACUGAGACACGGCCCAGACUCCUGCGGGAGGCAGCAGUGGGGGGUAUUGCACAAUGGGCGGAAGCCUGAUGCAGCGACGUCGCGUGAGGGAUGGAGGCCUUCGGGUUGUGAACCUCUUUCUCCGGUGGUGAAGGCCCUGUCCGUUGCGGCAGGGUUGACGGUAGCCGGGUAUGAAGCGCCGGCUAACUACGUG
RNAcentral lists this ribosomal RNA (499 nucleotides) under uncultured bacterium. RNAcentral's name for it is "partial 16S ribosomal RNA". It matches the Rfam family "Bacterial small subunit ribosomal RNA", at positions 28 to 507 of the family's 1533-position model. The record is from RNAcentral.